UCCGUAGGGGGCAAGCGUUAUCCGGAUUUACUGGGUGUAAAGGGAGCGUAGACGGCUAGACAAGUCUGAAGUGAAAAUCCAGCGCUUAACGUUGGAAGUGCUUUGGAAACUGCCGGGCUAGAGUGCAGGAGGGGCAGGCGGAAUUCCUAGUGUAGCGGUGAAAUGCGUAGAUAUUAGGAGGAACACCAGUGGCGAAGGCGGCCUGCUGGACUGCAACUGACGUUGAGGCUCGAAGGCGUGGGGAGCAAACAGG
RNAcentral lists this ribosomal RNA (253 nucleotides) under uncultured bacterium. RNAcentral's name for it is "partial 16S ribosomal RNA". It matches the Rfam family "Bacterial small subunit ribosomal RNA", at positions 524 to 776 of the family's 1533-position model. The record is from RNAcentral.